This 512-nucleotide ribosomal RNA is filed under the name uncultured bacterium. Its description in RNAcentral is "bacterial SSU rRNA". It matches the Rfam family "Bacterial small subunit ribosomal RNA", at positions 28 to 526 of the family's 1533-position model. The record is from RNAcentral.
GACGAACGCUGGCGGCGUGCCUAACACAUGCAAGUGGAGCGACGAACCAGGGCUUGCCCUGGGGCGAAGCCGCGAACGGGUGAGUAACACGUGGGUAACCUGCCCCGAUGACUGGGACAACCCGAGGAAACUCGGGCUAAUACCGGAUGAGUUCUCCGACCACGAGGUCGGAUAAGAAAGGUAGCUUCGGCUUCCGCGUCGGGAUGGGCCCGCGGCCCAUUAGCUUGUUGGUGGGGUAAAGGCCUACCAAGGCAACGAUGGGUAGCUGGUCUGAGAGGACGAUCAGCCACACUGGGACUGAGACACGGCCCAGACUCCUACGGGAGGCAGCAGUGGGGAAUCUUGCGCAAUGCGCGAAAGCGUGACGCAGCAACGCCGCGUGGGGGAAGACGGCCUUCGGGUUGUAAACCCCUUUCAGUUGGGACGAAGCUUCGGCGGUGAAUAGCCGUCCGGAGUGACUGUACCUUCAGAAGAAGCUCCGGCUAACUACGUGCCAGCCGCCGCCGUAAAAC